CUGGAGCUGCUGGGCUUCUUGCAAGAUGAAGGUAAUCUAGGGGAUGUAGGAGCUUGUGUUUUGGAAUGUUCUCCGAUUCUUAAAUGAGCAAAGGGUGUUAUGUAAUGGUGAAGACAAGUAAAUAAUUUAGUAUGUCGGAGGCUGAAAGCCACUUUGUUCUCCAAGUGGCAUAGGAGAACAAUCAAUAUACCAUUGCAAUACACCUUUUGCCAACUUAAGCAUCGGAGAGCGUCUUGGAGUAAAAGCUCCAAUGCCGCCCUAUGUCACCUACAUCUUGCAGGAAGCCCUGCAGCUCCAGU
RNAcentral lists this microRNA precursor (299 nucleotides) under Gossypium raimondii (Peruvian cotton). RNAcentral's name for it is "miR8758 stem-loop (gra-MIR8758)". Lineage: Eukaryota; Viridiplantae; Streptophyta; Magnoliopsida; Malvales; Malvaceae. The record is from miRBase by way of RNAcentral.